Alnus glutinosa is the source of this 932-nucleotide long non-coding RNA. RefSeq lists it as uncharacterized. Lineage: Eukaryota; Viridiplantae; Streptophyta; Magnoliopsida; Fagales; Betulaceae. The transcript has 3 exons. The record is from RefSeq and is a predicted model, not a curated record.
UUUCCCUCUUUCACUCACCCCCGGACGCUUGUUGUCGGUGGCUUCUCCAUUUGAGAGAAGCUCCCGAUUCUCUUUUCUCCUGUUUUGAGAGGGGUUCCUGUUUUUGUAGCUUCCUGUUUUUGUUCCCCUUGGUUUCUUGUUCCGGUGGAGGUGGUUAUUUCAUCUAGCUUGUGAGCUAUGAUGAGUUGAUGUUUCAUCUAGUCUUUGGGCUAUGAUGUUUGAUGCCAGAUCUACGCUUGCUCGGUGCUUUCCGCUUGACACGCGCCUUUUGGCCGGAAUGUCCGUCGCUGUCCGCUCCUGCUGCCGGUCGCACAGGUCACGCCGGUUGCCGGAGCUCGGAGCGUGGCCUGCACGCGCCAGAGGGGUUUCUGCCGUUCGGCGCGCGUGACGGCCACGUUUCGCCAUUUUCUGGUCUUGCACGGUGGGGAGGGGGCUUCCGGGGGUGUCUCUUCGGCUGGGUGGUACCGGGCCGGUGCGUGUUUUCACGCGCCGCCGGUAUUGGCGAAAUCCGCCUUCCUUCUGCCGGCUCUGGGAUAGGGAUUGGACAAUUUUUGCUCCAGCAACUCAGUGGUAUCAAUGGUGUUUCUAUCAAUUUUUGCUCAAGUUCUUCACUGGCAACGUGCAAGUUCUCCAAUGAUGUGAUUUAAACAAGAUCAAGAAGCCAAGAGAUAUAGUUGGGACAAACAAUUUUUUUGAUUGGUUUAGUUGCUACCAGUUUCCACAUUUUAGAGUAAUGCUGAUAGCUUGAUAUUUUUGGUGUAACUGAUAGAUUUAGUUGUUGUUGAUUAGUUUGGUUGUUUGCUGGUUUUGUCCAGUUGGUUGUUGGUUUUUGUUUCGGUUUUGAGCUAGAUUGCUCAUUAGUUUUGUUGGUUUGAACAAUUUUGUACAAUUGCUUUGAUUUCAAUAUACAAUGUUGCCUUAUUUCAAGCUUA